This is a long non-coding RNA of Gadus macrocephalus (Pacific cod), 712 nucleotides long. RefSeq lists it as uncharacterized. The record is from RefSeq and is a predicted model, not a curated record. NCBI's taxonomy places the organism in Eukaryota, Metazoa, Chordata, Actinopteri, Gadiformes, Gadidae. The transcript has 2 exons.
ACCUGACCUCAGUAGACCACAAUAGAAACAUGACCUCAGUAGACCACAAUAGAAACAUGACCUCAGUAGACCACAAUAUAAACCUGACCUUGGUAGACCUAAGCACAUCCAACAACCUUUCAACUCUUAAAGAGUAAAGGAGGAACCGUUCUCCACUCAUGAACACAAACAAAGUCUACGGACCCUCUUUGUUCCGCUCAGCCUCCAGAUGAUCCAGGUCUAGGACCUUCUCACAGAUCCAGUGGUGCAGUCUGUUACACGGCUCUUCAGACCAGCCGUCCUCCCCUGCUACGACACAGUCUCUUGCUCCGCCGUCAUCGCGUGGUUUAACGUGUCUCCAACUGAGAACCACGAGGAGGAGACAGUGGAGGUCAGUCUGUCACUCUCAGAGAAGAGAUGCUGCUGAACAGAGUCUUCAGCCUUACCUUGAGGUCAUGGGGGUACCAUCCACCCACUUGAGGGACCCCUCUUUCUCUCGAUCACUCAGUCCAAUCCAGGAAGAACCCAUCAAUCUGCUGACAAACCUGGAAACCUGGUUCUAAAGGUAAAUGCAUCUGUUGUCAUGACCACAAAGUACACACACACACACACACACACACACACACACACACACACACACACACACACACACACACACACACACACACACACACACACACACACACACACACACACACACACACACACACACACACACACCAGUUCUUCUCUG